ACCAUUCAUUCCUGCAGCCUGGCCAGGUCCCUCUGAACAGAGGCUCUGCUCACCUCAGCACCUGCUGCAGCCCCCUCGGAUUCAUGUCAUCUGCAGACAAGGUGAGGGUGCAAUUCCUCUUCUCCACCCAGGCUGUACAGCCCACCCCUGUGUUACUGCUCUGCUAUUCUGUAGUGUUACGUGAAUUAACUUCUCCUUCACCAUUUCCUGUUAGAAUAGUUCAUGGGAAUGCUGCUCUGCUCAUCUAACAUUACAAUAAACAGCACUGUGGAAGAGAGAAACUCCUAAAAAAAUUCCUUGGCCAAAUCCUUAUCUACUGCAAAUUCCUUGCAUUUCUGAUCAGCUUAUACAGAAGUGAGAUCCAGGCUUUUUAUUCAAAAACCAAAGUGCCAGUAAUGUAUUUAAAAAUCAGCAGGCUGUUCAUUAUAACCGGUUCUUGGUGCUGCAUGUAUUAGUUCACUGCUGGCAUAAACAUCUCCUUGGAUGAGCACAAGGAAUCAAGGAAUUGGCUACUUCUGUCUCACUGCUGCGUUAAGACAUGCAAACAAAAACAUGCUGAGUGUUUCUACGCUUAGUUACAUGUACUUUUGAGGAAAGAAUGACUAUUAUUUGAAUGCACUUAUUACCAGUUGAGCCUUCCUAAUCUCUAGAUAUCUCUUGGGCUUAGAAAAAUACGCAUUUUUUGCAGGAAAAUAUUUUUUAUAAUCCUUAAAUAAAUUUCUUGCACAAGAGUGUAGUUGUAAUCUAGAAAAUACUCACAAUGGGAGUGAAGUUAGGAAAACACUACCACCCAUUAAACCCCCACCCUCCUAUGGUCCUUGAACAUUAGCCAAGGUUUCAUUGUAGCCUCCCUUAAUUUGAUCCCAGGAGCUAAUACCAUUGACUUGAGUUCACUUUUCAUGAUAGGAACACUCAAUAUAGGAGACUUGCCUUGGAAGAAUGACUCAUAGACAAACAACAGUGCCCCUUCCAUGACAUCUAUGAUGGAUCAUUCAAAGUUCACAACAAACUGUUUCACAAAGAGGAGGCUGCUUCAAGUCAAAUUGUGAGACAGCUGUUAAACAAAUCUACUCCAUGGAAAUUUAGUCAACCUUACUACUCCUAAGUGGACCAGGAAAUCAGAAGCAUCACAUGUGAGAGAGAGAGAGACCCUGUUGAUACCAGACCCAGUUUCACAUCUUCCUCUGGAGACAGAAAGGCAUUUGAACGAGGUCCUCUCCAUGCAAUUUGGACACCAAAAGGCUAUUGUUCCAGACACCAAAAUCUUAGAGAAAGCGUUUUGUGCCGAAUUUCACACAAUUUCAGGGUUCAGCACACUCAAAGACUACAUCACCUCUAGAGGAACUGCUACAACAAGCAUGGGUGCUUGGAAUCUCACACCUAUGACUUGCAAGGGCAUGAACUGUGAAGCUUUCUUGAAGUGAAGUUGUCAUAGGACUUAUUUUGAAGACCAAAAUCCUUAGAAGAACACAACCAAAUCAUUUGCCUUCAUGAAAAAUAACAGCUCAUCCCAUUACACUUCAUGGGAGCUAGACUGCAGAAGAACAGGAGCUUAGUAAUCAUAUUUGUCACUGGAAAAAAUGAUGAACCCUGUCAUUCUCAGGAAGAAUAUGAGGCAACCUCAGUGAAAUCAAAAGGAAGAUUUUUGCUUGUCUUUAUUUCCCAAGGGUAGUAAUGUAUCUGUCUACUGGAAGUGUAAUGAAAUCUCUUUUAUGACAUAUGUGGAGUGCUGGUUUUAAAAAUUCUAGUAUAGUAAAGCAGUGCAUUAUUUUUGGAUCUUAUAAUUUUUUUUUUAAUAAGGAGAAUUUCACUUUCUUAAAACUGAAGUGGCAACAUUAGGGUUGGUCUGGAUACAAACCAACUACUGCUACAAUCUCACUCUUCCCACACUAACCAUUUUGAAGGGAAAAAAAUUAGUUUUUCACUGUGUGGAGCACAUCCACACCAUCUAAAGGAUCCUUAAGAUAAGGAAAAAAACACAUUCUGGAGCUCUGAAUUCAGAGACCUUGAAGAGGAUGAAGCAAACCUUCUGACUCAUUUUGGACAGAUAUUAUCUCAGUGUAAACCAGUGAAUAAUCUAUUCAGCCCUUGCAGGGCUCAGGAUUACCGAGUUAAGAAAAUUAUGAAAAGGUUCCCCUGCCUCACAGGAACACCAUGAGGCACUGUAAGGCACUGUCUGCAAAAUAUUUUAGCUCCUUGAUAAAAAAGUGCUGCAGAAUUGCAAGAUAUUGUAAUUUUGAUCACACUAAUAAUUAUUUGAGCACAAGGAGCUACCACUUGACAAUUCCUUCAUCCAAACAGCAGCACUGAAUAAUUGCUGCUGCUGUGAGAAACAGCAGGUAGCACUGAGCAGAAACCCAUUUGCACAGGAGUGCUGCCAAGAAACUGCCAAAGGGACUUUGAGAAAGAGCUUUCCAUACACUGAAAUCAUGUGCUGCAGCACACCAAAGAAGUUUCUCUUACUCAGUCCAUCAGGUUGGAUAAUACCAUCCAAAAUGAGAGGACAGAUAAAAACCAGUUUAAGCAGUGCCUCAGAGAAUACCAGGGAUUGUGCCAGCCUUUCAAGAAAUGUGUGGCAGGCCUACUGCUUCUGGUUGUGGAAAAGAGCUUUGCAGGUAGCCUCUAA
Molecule: non-coding RNA, 2626 nt
Organism: Cyanistes caeruleus (blue tit)
Lineage: Eukaryota; Metazoa; Chordata; Aves; Passeriformes; Paridae
Source: RefSeq, a predicted model, not a curated record